GUUUUACUGUCCAGCUUAUUGUCAACAAAGUUUUUAAAGAAAAAAAAGGCAAGACGCAAAUGAGCCCAAAUAAAGGUUAUCAGUUGGUCUCUUAUACUUGGCGGUCUGCUUUCAAGUGCUGAAAUCACUUUACUGCUCCAGUGUAGAAUCUCGCAGCCAAGCUUCAACAUGCUCUUCAAACAUUUCUUCUACAUUUUUCUCCUGGUCAUUUCUUUCAUCCUGUCUCCAACGGAUGCGGGAUUCACCGAAGUAUUAUCUCCAAAAAGUAGCACUGGAAGGAUCACAAGAGGUCGUGGCAAGGGUAUCAAGACCGGUCAUAACCAGGUGGACCCCGUGAAUUCAACUGAAACAGUUGACACCGCAGCCCUCUGAUAUCUUGUAAUCGUUAUGUGAUUAACACACAGGCUCAAUGAAAUAUAGAACCUGAAUAAAAUUU
This is a long non-coding RNA of Cloeon dipterum, 436 nucleotides long. RefSeq lists it as uncharacterized. The transcript has 3 exons. Lineage: Eukaryota; Metazoa; Arthropoda; Insecta; Ephemeroptera; Baetidae. The record is from RefSeq and is a predicted model, not a curated record.